GACGAACGCUGGCGGCGUGCUUAACACAUGCAAGUCGAACGGUGAAGCUCCAGCUUGCUGGAGUGGAUCAGUGGCGAACGGGUGAGUAACACGUGAGCAACCUGCCCCUGACUCUGGAAUAAGCGCUGGAAACGGCGUCUAAUACUGGAUACGAGAAGGGUCCGCAUGGGCACUUUCUGGAAAGUUUUUCGGUUGGGGAUGGGCUCGCGGCCUAUCAGCUUGUUGGUGAGGUAAUGGCUCACCAAGGCGACGACGGGUAGCCGGCCUGAGAGGGCGACCGGCAACAGGGGGACGGGAAACCGGCCAAGACUCCGCGGGGGGGAGGAGGGGGGAAAUAUGGAAAAAGGGGGGAAGGCCGGAUGCAGCGCCGCGGGGGGGGGGAGGCCGGCCUUGGGUUUGAAACCCUCUUCAGGAGGGAAAGAAGCGAAAGGGAGGGUCCCGGAAAAAGAAGCCCGGGCUAACAAGGUG
Molecule: ribosomal RNA, 468 nt
Filed under: uncultured bacterium
Lineage: Bacteria
Description: partial 16S ribosomal RNA
Rfam family: Bacterial small subunit ribosomal RNA
Source: RNAcentral